Molecule: long non-coding RNA, 1325 nt
Organism: Triplophysa dalaica
Lineage: Eukaryota; Metazoa; Chordata; Actinopteri; Cypriniformes; Nemacheilidae
Exons: 5
Source: RefSeq, a predicted model, not a curated record
GACGAAGGAGACAUUUUAGCAUCUGCGUGCGAGACUAAUGGAUCUACUCACAGCCAACGUGUUUCUACUCAAAGCCAUCGUUUUAUACUGAGAUCACAGGCAAUAAACAUCUGCAAAAAAAAAUCCUGUGUCCUUCGAAGCCUGGCUAGGCUCUCACGUGUUUUGCAGACUACUCGACGGUGUCGACAAGACUGCAAUCGUCUCAUUUAAAAUCAUCCUAAACGCCAGUCUGAUGAUUCUCUGGAGGAGGAAAGGCUAAACAAUGUUACAACCAAGACCUGUUUUAUUUCUAUCACCAGUUAUGUAAUGAGUUCAAACAUCACUAGUGUGGACCUCCUUGAGACAUUCAGAGCAUCAAUACACGAGCACACUCCGCAACUCUUCAAGCCAUACAGAGCAAGAAAGGGGGCAUUUGGAACAGAAAUGGAAGAUCUUCUCAACAAUCUUGAUCAGCAGACCACAAAUAUUGUGACUCACAGAAUGCAAACCGUCCUGGAAGGUCUCCCCAUGUUUCUAUGACAAGAUUCCUCUGUACUUUUUAAAACAUGCCUGGACAAGACUCCAGAGGACAGACAGACCAGAGGGAUGAAGGUGGGAAUCCUUAUUGUAAUUGAAGAUGAUGCCCCCCCCAGCACACUGCCCAGUGUCACAAAAUUUGCUGUUGUGUUGGAGGAGGUAUUGUACUGAGAGAUGCUCCAGACUUGCAGUCUGCACUUGCAUACCUGUUUGGCCUUCUGUUUGCCUUGGACUUUGAGUACCCAAAGCAACUGAAAUACACUUUUGAGGUUAUUGAGAAAGUGUUUAUGGAGAUGGGCACUCAUUGCUCUGCCAGGGUACAGACCCUCAAAACUAAGCUAUUACUGUGAGAUGCAUUUGUGAGAUGUUUGUAUCUUACAUUUAAGAUGCAAGUAGAUAGUUUUUUUUUUUUGCAAUUUGCUUGCAUUUUGUUUGACUCAUUUUUGUUUAAACUGUUAACUUGAGGUUGUGAUAAACAUUGGUGCCACUGUUUCAGCACUUACAGCACAAACGUUAACUUGCUUAUGGUAUAAAGCUGCUCAGUUGUAACAUAUUCAGUGUUUACAAUUUAAAAUGUAAAACAUUUAAAAGAUAGAACAUUUUAAGUAUUUAUGACCAGUGGAAUCUAAACACUUUGAAUGUAAAAGUACUCUUUAAAAAAAAUGUUUUAUUCUUCUGCCUACUCUUUUUUUUUUAUUUCUUUUUUAAUGAUAAGGAGUAUGGCUAAAGUGGUAAACAUGUUUGUUUUUUCCAUUUCCACACCAAAGUGUUGCUGCUGGUUUAAAAUAAAACCUGGACCAAAAUAUCAA